CGGACGGGUGAGUAAUGCUUGGGAAUCUAGCUUAUGAGGGGGAGUAACUACGGGAAACUGUAGCUAAUACCGCGUAAUAUCGGAAGAUUAAAGUGUGGGACCUUCGGGCCACAUGCCAUAGGAUGAGCCCAAGUGGGAUUAGGUAGUUGGUGAGGUAAAGGCUCACCAAGCCGACGAUCUCUAGCUGGUCUGAGAGGAUGACCAGCCACACUGGGACUGAGACACGGCCCAG
Molecule: ribosomal RNA, 232 nt
Filed under: uncultured bacterium
Lineage: Bacteria
Description: partial 16S ribosomal RNA
Rfam family: Bacterial small subunit ribosomal RNA
Source: RNAcentral